CUGGAGACAGGUGCUGCAUGGCUGUCGUCAGCUCGUGUCGUGAGAUGUUGGGUUAAGUCCCGCAACGAGCGCAACCCUUGCCUUUAGUUGCCAGCAGUUCGGCUGGGCACUCUAAAGGGACUGCCGGUGUUAAACCGGAGGAAGGUGGGGAUGAUGUCAAGUCCUCAUGGCCUCUAUGACCAGGGCUACACACGUACUACAAUGGCCGAUACAAAGGGCAGCGACACUGCGAGGUGAAGCCAAUCCCGUAAAAUCGGUCUCAGUCCGGAUUGGAGUCUGCAACUCGACUCCAUGAAGUUGGAAUCGCUAGUAAUCGUGGAUCAGCAUGCCACGGUGAAUACGUUCCCGGGCCUU
Molecule: ribosomal RNA, 354 nt
Filed under: uncultured Desulfobulbus sp.
Lineage: Bacteria; Pseudomonadati; Thermodesulfobacteriota; Desulfobulbia; Desulfobulbales; Desulfobulbaceae
Description: bacterial SSU rRNA
Rfam family: Bacterial small subunit ribosomal RNA
Source: RNAcentral